Molecule: RNA transcript, 1486 nt
Organism: Salvia splendens (bonfire salvia)
Lineage: Eukaryota; Viridiplantae; Streptophyta; Magnoliopsida; Lamiales; Lamiaceae
Gene name: NADH dehydrogenase [ubiquinone] iron-sulfur protein 4, mitochondrial
Exons: 3
Source: RefSeq, a predicted model, not a curated record
GAUUGCUUGCAUUUUUUCUUUGGCUCAAUCAGCUUUUAUCUUUGAUCAAUUUGUCAUCCACCCUUAAGAAACAUUGGAGCUAGCAAGUUAUCAUUCGAUUCGACCAAGUUCGUUCUUUGAUUCCAGUAUUAUCAAUUCGAUUGCCUUUGUUGAGUCAGUGCUCCCAGUGUGUUGAAUUAUUAUAUCCAUGAGAAUCAUAGGCUGAUGAUCAAUGUUCUUCAGCUCAAAUACAUGUCUUAACACUUUAUCGAAAACUUUUUACCGGAAACAUUUCACCGGUAACGAUAAAGUAAAGUUGAGAUGUUUAUGGCAAGGAAAAUAUGUGGCCGAUAAGGAGGAGACAAAGGCACGCAGGAAUAGAAUCAUAAAGGAAUGAGAUGAAAAUGUGAAUGGAAUGAAGAUGAGAAAGGAGUCCAUAAUGGUUCUAGUGCUUGAUGGGAGGAAUCCACUUAUGGGUUGGACAUCCACUGGAGACCCAUAUGCCAAUGUUGGGGAUUCUGCACGCUUUGACAGUCAAGAAGCUGCAGUAUCAUUUGCUGAGAGAUAUGGUUGGGAAUACACUGUAUGGUCUCCUUGGUCUGAGAUCCCGACAGAACAAAUUUUCCAAGUUUAAAAUUUGUCAGCUGGAAUCUCUUUUUGCAAGGGUUAUAUAUUAGACCAUAAAACGUUCUUUAUUUGUCAGCUGGAAUCUUGAAAUUCCAUGAGAAUGGACUAUGCUAUAAAAGUUGAGUUAUUCGUAGUGUCAUUAAAUAAAAUAGAAGCGAAUUAGCAUAGGUUUGUUUUUGUUCUCUUAAAGAAUCUGGUUUGGCAUUUUUUUGGUCGUCCUGUAUUUAAUGGAACUGGCCAUCUUGACACAGCCAUUAAAUUAUUAACUAAACAGAUUUUGAUAUCAGUAUUUUGUCUAUUUUGAGAUUGGUUCAACAUGGCACUGUGUCAAGACUCGAGUGAAUUCUGGUGCUAUUGAAUCGUCUGGCAUGUAUUAGUCACUUAAUCUAAAAUUUGGCGCUGUGUCAAGACUCAAGAGUGAAUUCUAGUGCCGUUGAAUCGUUUGGCAUGUAUUAGUCAUUUAUCUACAAUUUUGGCACCGUGUCAAGACUCCACCACAGUGCUGGUCUAAUAUCUUCGACUAUGAAAGUUUCUUAUGUUUUCAUACUGCUUCUUAUUCACAGGUCAAGAAGCACCACACCCCAUUAUUGAAGGUGAAGGCAUAUGCAGACAACUUCAAAUGGAAGGGCCCUCCUAAGUCUGAGGCGAGCUAAUUUUUCAAGUGUAAUAAUUUGCUUGGGGAUUUUAGCUCAGGAAGGCACAAGGAUGAGUAUUCUGUGUUAUCCUUGAGUGAAUAAAUCACACAACAUUUGGGUGCCUUCAUGCUUGAUUUGUUCGUGCAGAGAGUUUCGAUACACUUUGCACUUUGUUGUAAGACAAGAUACUUGUGUAUUACAGAAUUAUAUCCAACUUUUAGAGAGAAAAGACUUGUUUGUUUUAA